GUCUCAGGCCGUAUCAGCCUGAAGGCGCUCGAUCUCGUCUGAUCUCGGAAGCUAAGCAGGGUCGGGCCUGGUUAGGUAUCUUGGGAUGGGAGACCACCUGGGAAUCCCGGGUGCUCGAGGCU
Molecule: ribosomal RNA, 122 nt
Filed under: Bison bison bison
Lineage: Eukaryota; Metazoa; Chordata; Mammalia; Artiodactyla; Bovidae
Source: RNAcentral